AGACAUCCUUUUUACGUGUUUUUGGGGUCGUGCAUGGUAUCCACUCGUCAAUGUUAGUGGCCCCCCCCCCUGAGUUGUGACAGUAAGCACCUUACAGGUGCCAUAUGAGCUUCUCUGAUAAAUCUGAAAAAAUUAAAGAAAUCUGUAAGCAAUCAUCCCAAAAUUUUGUACUAAAAACUUAAAAGGAAUCUGUAUAUGAAAUUGUCCUUAAUUUUGUCAUAAUAAAUAUUUUAAAAACACUCUAUAUAAUAAACAUGGUCUAAAAUUUGUGCACUCAUGUAAUUUUGACUCCUGUACUAAGAAGAUGUCAGUGGCUCAGUGCGAAAGUUUUGCAGCUAUAUGGUCACCAGUCUGCCACCGCCUGAUGUCGCGAAAGCAUACAUGAGAAAAAUCCUUGCUCGAAGUACCCAUCAUGAACAAUACCAUAUCAAAAGAAUACAAAAACAUUUUUUUUUUAACUUUCAAGAGUAUAGGUGAAAUACAAAUUGCCUGAAUGUAACAAUUUAUGAAUCAUAUGCUCAUAAAGGUCAUGUGUGUCAUUGAUCUCCUUAUUGUAUAACAAUUUUUUUUGGACGGGGCAGUGCAGUGCCGAUCAAAGCAAGCUGAUUUGCAUCUUUGGGGCAAGUCAAAAUCUGCAUCACAGUUAGCGCAAAGUAAAAUGGAAAGUAGGCCUGAGUCGAAACGGUUCCCGACCGGGCCCCGCCCGUCGCCCUAAAACCCGGUUUUACUUUUUCCGGUUUCGGGUUUUCCACAUACAAUAACUGCCCAUAAAAUCCUUUAUCAUUCCUCAGUGUUUUGAUUUCAAACAUUCUCCUACCUUCUCAAAUCACUGUCAUGUACUUUGUGACCAGUUAACCGCCUUUGUGCUCAUGCGAAAGCAGCGAAACUUGUGAACUUCAUGACCAGAAGACAGAAGUAUGUCAACGUCAAAUCAAUUUGGAAGAGCCGCGCCGAUCUACGGCCAGCUGUGCCAGCCUUGCCUACGCCACAUCGCUGGCGCGCCUACCGUACCCACGCCUAUAUCUCUGGCCUGAGCACGCAUUUCAAAUCUAAUGCGAAUAAUGGAAGAAUUUAUCAUUCCAUUUGACAAUCAAUUGCAAUGACUUUUGAACUUGAAGGGCCAGACGUCUAAACAAAUUUGGUUUUAGUUAAAAUAGACUUACGACGGCCUAUGGGAAGUUUUGUAAUCAUGCUUCUCGUCGAAGAAAAUGGAAUAUGAUAAAUUCGGACGAGACGGAAGAAGAGUAUAAAAGAAAAAAUAAAAAAUCUGGGACCCUGGGUCGUGUAACUUUUUAUAUUACCCCUGUUAUUCAAUUGAGGAAAUAUUACAUCACCUUUAGAUCGUCUUGCCCCCUCCCCCAUCAAAAUACCCUGGCGCCGCCCCUGGGUAAUAUAAUUAUGUGACGCCGACUGUGAAUUUGUUUGAGUCUGUUUUUAGUUUGUUUCUUCAUCAAAACAUGUCCUUGUGUUUCCCUAUUUUUAGAAUCUCCCCUGUAAUAACUCUUUCUCUGUGCACCUCUGCAGGCCUAUCAUUUCCUCUUGUCUUCUUUGUUUUUCCUUCUUUUUUUAAAAUAAACUUUCUGCCUUUCUCUCUACCUGGCACUUCCAUACAUACCUAUAUUUUACACUUCACUUCUUUCACUGAAAUUCAGUCCAGCGGCUCCAGCCUUUACUCUCUUCCUUUCUUCAGGGCCUAUCUACUAUUACCUAUCUACUACAUUUCUUUGAUAAACUAUUAUUAAACAAUAUGAUCAACUCAAAAGUGCCAAGUAGACAAGUACAGAUUUUUUUUUCUCUCUCUCUCUCUCAGUCGCUCUCUCUUUCUUUCUUUCUUUUUUUUUUUUUUUGAAAGUGCCCUAUGUUAUGGUCUGGCAGAGGGUUUAUCUAAUAGUCCUUUCCAACUUAUAAUAGGAUGAAGGAUUAUAAUGAUAAGCAUCGGAAAAAAAAAACACAUUCCACGGUGAAAGUUUCCCAUUCCCCGAUCGCACUAUCAGCCUUAAUUAAAAUGGGAGGUUGUCUUAAUAAACUGGUUUAUCUUGAUAGACAGCUUUAUCUUGAAUUCUUGAUAAACUUGUGUUCAUGAAAAUGCUCACUUCUAGUCCAUUGUCAUUUCACUUUCUGACAUUGGCGUGGUCAGUCUUAUAUAAUAUUUGUUUCAUUGCACUCUACGUCUUCAUUUGAGUUAAUUUCGUUCAUAAUAUUCUACUGAGUUUGAACUUUGAAGCGGCACAAUGCCUAGCAAGGUGUGGAAAGUGUUUCGCAAGUCGUCUGACACUUCAGCGACCUGUAAUAUUUGUGAUCGCGUCUUUGCGUACAAAGGGGGCUCGACGAGUAGUCUGCUUGGCCAUAUUAAGAACUUUCACCCGGCCAGUCUGGAGGAGCCUGAUGCUGCAAAGCAAACGAGAUUGGCCUUUUCUCGCAAGUGUGACCCAAGAAAGACUGCUGCCAUAUCGGAACGAGUAGCAAGAAUGAUUGCUGAAGAUGGCCUCCCUAUUAGUCUGGUUGAAGGGAAGGGAUUCAUAUCCCUUAUGAAGUACAUUUAGCUAGAUUAUACGCUACCUACUAGAAAAACUGUUGUUAAUAUCCUGGACAAAAUGAUGAGUGACAAAAAGGGAAAGGUGAAGCAAGAUCUUCACAAGAGUGCCGCAAUAGCACUAACAACGGAUUGUUGGACAAGUCAUGCACAGGAGGGCUAUAUGACUGUCACAGCACACGGCCUGA
Lytechinus variegatus (green sea urchin) is the source of this 2721-nucleotide long non-coding RNA. RefSeq lists it as uncharacterized. Lineage: Eukaryota; Metazoa; Echinodermata; Echinoidea; Temnopleuroida; Toxopneustidae. The transcript is spliced from 2 exons. The record is from RefSeq and is a predicted model, not a curated record.